CCUACGGGGGGCUGCAGUGGGGAAUAUUGGACAAUGGGCGAAAGCCUGAUCCAGCCAUGCCGCGUGUGUGAAGAAGGCCUUCGGGUUGUAAAGCACUUUCAGUGGGGAAGAAAGCCUUGGGGCUAAUACCCUCGAGGAAGGACAUCACCCACAGAAGAAGCACCGGCUAACUCCGUGCCAGCAGCCGCGGUAAUACGGAGGGUGCGAGCGUUAAUCGGAAUUACUGGGCAUAAAGCGCGCGUAGGCGGUCUGAUAAGCCGGUUGUGAAAGCCCCGGGCUCAACCUGGGAACGGCAUCCGGAACUGUCAGGCUAGAGUGCAGGAGAGGAAGGUAGAAUUCCCGGUGUAGCGGUGAAAUGCGUAGAGAUCGGGAGGAAUACCAGUGGCGAAGGCGGCCUUCUGGACUGACACUGACGCUGAGGUGCGAAAGCGUGGGUAGCAAACAGGAUUAGAUACCCCAGUAGUC
This 465-nucleotide ribosomal RNA is filed under the name Vreelandella stevensii. Its description in RNAcentral is "partial 16S ribosomal RNA". It matches the Rfam family "Bacterial small subunit ribosomal RNA", at positions 338 to 795 of the family's 1533-position model. Lineage: Bacteria; Pseudomonadati; Pseudomonadota; Gammaproteobacteria; Oceanospirillales; Halomonadaceae. The record is from RNAcentral.